AUGUCUCUAGACAAUUUAAGGGGCUUUGCAUUAGCCACAUCCUCAAGUGCUUUCAUUGGAUCUAGCUUUGUGAUCAAGAAGAUUGGCCUGAAGAAAGCUGGGGACGUUGGGGUAAGAGCAGGUUCUGGAGGCUACUCGUACUUGUAUGAACCGUUAUGGUGGAUAGGAAUGGUAACUAUGAUUCUGGGUGAGGUGGCCAAUUUUGCAGCAUAUGCAUUUGCGCCAGCAAUACUUGUUACUCCUCUGGGAGCAUUGAGCAUCAUAUUUAGCGCAGUGCUAGCACACUUCAUUUUGAAUGAGAGGUUGCAUAUGUUUGGCGUGGUUGGUUGUGCAUUAUGUGUUGUUGGUUCAAUUGAUAUAGUUUUGCAUGCCCCGAUGGAAAGAAAGAUUGAUUCAGUUAGCGAAAUAUGGCAACUCGCAACUGAACCAGGUUUCAUAGUAUAUUCUUGCUUGGCUGUAGCUCUUGCACUUGUUUUAAUGUUCUGGGUUGUUCACCAUACCGAGCAAAGGAAAAUGCUCGCAUAUGUUGCAAUAUGUUCACUUUUCGGGUCUCUUACGGUUAUCAGUGUUAAAGCAGUGGCCAUUGCCUUAAAGCUCUCAUUUAACGGAGUGAACCAAUUUGUCUACAUCCAAACGUGGUUCUUUAUUUCUGUUGUGAUUAUAUGCUGUUUAGUGCAGCUGAAUUAUUUAAACAAGGCCUUGGAUUCAUUCAAUACAGCUGUGGUCGCACCUGUAUAUUAUGUGAUGUUCACCACUCUUACUAUUCUUGCGAACAUGAUCAUGUACAAGGACUGGGACUCUCAGAAUGCAACACAGAUAGCAAGUGAGGUGUGUGGGUUCGUGACGAUUGUUGCGGGGACAUUUCUUCUGCACAAGACCAGAGAUAUGGGGAACACACAACCUGACUCGAAUUCUCUGAGAGCGGACUGUGAACUCCAGGAGCAUAGCUAG
This 951-nucleotide ribosomal RNA is filed under the name Triticum aestivum (bread wheat). RNAcentral's name for it is "partial small subunit ribosomal RNA". The record is from RNAcentral. Lineage: Eukaryota; Viridiplantae; Streptophyta; Magnoliopsida; Poales; Poaceae.